This 482-nucleotide ribosomal RNA is filed under the name uncultured bacterium. Its description in RNAcentral is "partial 16S ribosomal RNA". It matches the Rfam family "Bacterial small subunit ribosomal RNA", at positions 30 to 507 of the family's 1533-position model. The record is from RNAcentral.
AUUGAACGCUGGCGGCAUGCCUUACACAUGCAAGUCGAACGGUAACGGGCCUUCGGGUGCCGACGAGUGGCGAACGGGUGAGUAAUACAUCGGAACGUGCCCGAUCGUGGGGGAUAACGAGGCGAAAGCUUUGCUAAUACCGCAUACGAUCUACGGAUGAAAGCAGGGGACCGCAAGGCCUUGCGCGGACGAAGCGGCCGAUGGCAGAUUAGGUAGUUGGUGGGAUAAAAGCUUACCAAGCCGACGAUCUGGAGCUGGUCUGAGAGGAUGAUCAGCCACACUGGGACUGAGACACGGCCCAGACUCCUACGGGAGGCAGCAGUGGGGAAUUUUGGACAAUGGGCGCAAGCCUGAUCCAGCCAUGCCGCGUGCAGGAUGAAGGCCUUCGGGUUGUAAACUGCUUUUGUACGGAACGAAAAGCCUUCUUUUAAUACAGGAGGGUCAUGACGGUACCGUAAGAAUAAGCACCGGCUAACUACGUG